GGGGUUGUAGCUCAGUGGUAAAGCACUUGCCUUGCACGCAUGAGGCCCUGGGUUCAAUCCUCAGCACCACA
This 71-nucleotide transfer RNA is filed under the name Marmota monax (woodchuck). Its description in RNAcentral is "tRNA.Ala". It matches the Rfam family "tRNA". From Rfam's summary of the family: Transfer RNA (tRNA) molecules are approximately 80 nucleotides in length. Their secondary structure includes four short double-helical elements and three loops (D, anti-codon, and T loops). Lineage: Eukaryota; Metazoa; Chordata; Mammalia; Rodentia; Sciuridae. The record is from RNAcentral.